Long non-coding RNA from Gordionus sp. m RMFG-2023, 844 nucleotides. RefSeq lists it as uncharacterized. NCBI's taxonomy places the organism in Eukaryota, Metazoa, Nematomorpha, Gordioida, Chordodea, Parachordodidae. The record is from RefSeq and is a predicted model, not a curated record. The transcript has 5 exons.
GAAACCUUUUAUUAUAUAAUUAGGCAUAUAAAACCUAUAUUGCCUACAACAUCAUCAAAUUUUAUAAAGGAUCCUAUAACUGUUGAAGAAAGGCUUAUGAUUUGUCUAAGCAACAGGAUGUAGGUAUCCUACCCUAGCUUAUUCUUUCAAAAGGGGUAUAUCUACCAUCCAACAAAUUAUUAAGAGAACUACCAAAGCUAUAUGGCAAGCUUUGGUAAGCCAACAUAUGCCACCACCUACUCUCUCUGAUUUUGAGAGAAUAGCGAAGACUUUGAAUUAAAGUGGAAUCUACCUAAUUGUAUAGGUAGUAUUGAUGGUAAACACUGCAGAAUAAGGAAACCACCUCAUUCUGGCAGUGGAUUUUACAAUUACAAACAUUUUUUCUCUGUUGUUUUACAAGGAAUUGUAGAUGCUAAUGGAAAAUUUAUAACUGUUGAUGUUGGCAGUUUUGGCAGUGAAUCUGAUGGAGGAAUUUUUGCUAACUCCAAAAUAUAUAAAAUGAUAGAAAGUGGAGAGAUUAAAUUGCCUCCUGCAAAAAAAUUGCCCAAUUCCAGCCUUAUUUUCCCACAUUAUUUUGUGGGUGAUGAUGCUUAUCCGUUGAAGUCUUCUAUUUUAAAACCUUACAAGGGUAAACUUACACCCCAACAGGAGGCCUAUAAUUAUAGAAUAUCUAGGGCUAGAAUACAAGUGGAAUGCACAUUUGGUAUUCUAAGAGCUAAAUGGAUGAUCUUUGAUCAACCAAUGGAUACGAAAUUAGAGCUAACAGAAGAUAUAAUUAAAACAUGUACCUUACUCAAUAACAUUAUUAUUGAUAAGGAAAAAUAUAUUCCUUUUAACCCUCAAA